UGGGGAAUUUUGGACAAUGGGCGCAAGCCUGAUCCAGCAAUGUCGCGUGCAGGAUGAAGGCCUUCGGGUUGUAAACUGCUUUUGUACGGAACGAAAAGCCUCUCUCUAAUACAGGGGGGUGAUGACGGUACCGUAAGAAUAAGCACCGGCUAACUACGUGCCAGCAGCCGCGGUAAUACGUAGGGUGCAAGCGUUAAUCGGAAUUACUGGGCGUAAAGCGUGCGCAGGCGGUUUUGUAAGACAGUGGUGAAAUCCCGGGCUCAACCUGGGAACUGCCAUUGUGACUGCAAGGCUGGAGUGCGGCAGAGGGGGAUGGAAUUCCGCGUGUAGCAGUGAAAUGCGUAGAUAUGCGGAGGAACACCGAUGGCGAAGGCAAUCCCCUGGGCCUGCACUGACGCUCAUGCACGAAAGCGUGGGGAGCAAACAGGAUUAGAUACCCUGGUAGUCCACGCCCUAAACGAUGUCAACNGGUUGUUGGGGAUUUAUUUCUUCAGUAACGAAGCUGAA
RNAcentral lists this ribosomal RNA (507 nucleotides) under uncultured bacterium. RNAcentral describes it as "partial 16S ribosomal RNA". It matches the Rfam family "Bacterial small subunit ribosomal RNA", at positions 355 to 856 of the family's 1533-position model. The record is from RNAcentral.